GCUAAAGAUGACGACCGGCGAACGGGUGCGUAACGCGUAUAGAAUCUACCUCUUACUAAGGGAUAGCCCAGAGAAAUUUGGAUUAAUACCUUAUGGUAUGCAGACUUGGCAUCAAGACUGCAUUAAAGAUUACGGUAGGAGAUGACUAUGCGUCCUAUUGGCUAGAUGGUGUGGUAACGGCACACCAUGGCAACGAUAGGUAGGGGCCCUGAGAGGGGGAUCCCCCACACUGGUACUGAGACACGGACCAGACUCCUACGGGAGGCAGCAGUGAGGAAUAUUGGACAAUGGAGGCAACUCUGAUCCAGCCAUGCCGCGUGCAGGAAGACUGCCCUAUGGGUUGUAAACUGCUUUUAUACAGGAAGAAACACUGCUACGUGUAGCAGCUUGACGGUACUGUAAGAAUAAGGAUCGGCUAACUCCGUGCCAGCAGCCGCGGUAAUACGGAGGAUCCAAGCGUUAUCCGGAAUCAUUGGGUUUAAAGGGUCCGUAGGUGGAUAAUUAAGUCAGAGGUGAAAUCCUGCAGCUCAACUGUAGAAUUGCCUUUGAUACUGGUUAUCUUGAGUUAUUAUGAAGUAGUUAGAAUAUGUAGUGUAGCGGUGAAAUGCAUAGAUAUUACAUAGAAUACCAAUUGCGAAGGCAGAUUACUA
This 650-nucleotide ribosomal RNA is filed under the name uncultured marine bacterium. RNAcentral's name for it is "bacterial SSU rRNA". It matches the Rfam family "Bacterial small subunit ribosomal RNA", at positions 81 to 731 of the family's 1533-position model. The record is from RNAcentral.